Molecule: long non-coding RNA, 342 nt
Filed under: Physcomitrium patens
Lineage: Eukaryota; Viridiplantae; Streptophyta; Bryopsida; Funariales; Funariaceae
Description: long non-coding RNA (PPAT_LNC002516)
Source: RNAcentral
GGUGUUGGAUGAUUGCAGGCUGAUCAAUUCGAUUGAUGCAUCAUAUUUACUUUUUACACUUUACUAUGCCGAAGGCUUCUGGAAACGCCUUACUUGUUAUAAAGUGGUGUUUUGGCAUCACAAGAGAGAUUUUUGUCGGGUUGUGUAGACCGUCGUUUUGCAUGUUUCCAGUUUCCUUCUCAUUGUAGUCGCCAUUGCACACCCUCUUUUAAAUCUGAAAUUGGUCUUGUGCCUUUGGAUUUCUACUCAUGGAGAUAGUGAUGAAUGCUGCUCUGCAAAUGGGAAUUUAGUCCAUAUUGCUGCAUGGUUGAAUAUGUAAGGAUACUCUGAAACCUGUACUCU